Molecule: long non-coding RNA, 3604 nt
Organism: Equus caballus (horse)
Lineage: Eukaryota; Metazoa; Chordata; Mammalia; Perissodactyla; Equidae
Source: Ensembl
UGUGUCUCCAACUGAGAGGCUUCCUCAAAAACGAGGCCUUUUUAAAAAAAAUCAGUGCUCCCCACUGUGCUGUGUGAAGCCCCGUGUGGCUUCCCGCUGCCCUUCCAACAAGGUCAAGGCCCCUCACACCCAGCCUCCAUGAUGUGACCCCACAUCUUCCCGUGACCCUCGGCUCACCGGGUUUCACUCACACUCGCCCGAUUUCUGACCCUGAGACCACAGUCUGCUCUCCCUCAGGCCUUUCCUCUCUCGCCCCAACACUGCUCUCCAGGGGGCUGGCUCCUGGCGGGGCCUGUGGCUCAAGGUCAGGACACCUGGAAGAGGGCACCCGAGGAGCUGGCAAGACGUCCGUCCAGUGCCAGCAUAGGCCCGCCCCUGGAAGGCGCUCAGUAACGUGGGAGAGAAGGAGGAAAAGAUGGAGAGAAAGUAUAGUGCGACUUAAGUCAGGCGGAGAAGGGAGCAUCAGCUUCAUCUCUUGAGGAUCAAGAAUGACAACAUCCACUCACGUCAAGAUAAUCCACACACAGACCGGUGGGACAAUCGGUUUCUUCAUCUCCUCAGUAAAUCCUUUGUAAGGGCUACGAUGUGCCCAACACAACAUCAACACGCAGCCCGCCUUCGGGGAGCCCCAGCCAGGGGCGCUGGGCAGACAGAACACCCCUGGCAUGCGGAGCCUCAUGGAGCCAAUCUUGUUUUUGCUGCCCACCACCCUUUUCAAUUGGAGAGAACUCCGGCAGUGACGAUGGCUUUGCUGGAACCCCCGCAGCAGACAGCCCUGAGAUCAAGCAGAGAGCAUCAUAAAAGAGGGGACUGUCCUUUUACUCGGAGGCCCCACAGUCACAUCAGGAGGCUGGAGUCUGGCUUUUGUGCUCAGAAGAGAACUUACCAGCUCGAUAACUUUGCAGUCUACAGGGCAUGGCGACCGGUCGCACCAGUUCUGGAGACGGAGAGUCCAGGGUCGAGGUGCUGCCGACUCGGUUCCUGGGGAGAGCCGCUCCUGGCUUGCAGAUGGCCUCCUUCUUGCUGCGUCCUCGCCUGGCAGAGAGAGCAUCUUCCUCAAGUCUUGUCUUAUCUGGGCACCGAUCCCCUCAUGGGGGCUCCACCUUCACCACCUAACCACCUCCCAGAGGUCCCACCUCCCAACAUGCUCGCAGUGGAGAUUCGACUUCAACUUACGAAUCCAGGAGACACAGGGUUCGGCCCGCUGCACCAGGAUUAACCCGCCGCCCUGGCACUCUUCUUGUCCCCGCUGACUGCUGCGCUGCAGGGUCCUCAGACUCGGCGGGCACAAGAAUCCCCAGGCUGUGAGCCUCCCAGGAAGGUAUGCUGCUGGGCCUGCCCCCCAAUUCAGAUUCAGGAGGACUCAGGGACCUGGAAAUCUGCAUGCCUGACAAGCCCUCCACAUCACUCUAACGAAGUGGUCCAUGCAGCACACUUUGAAAAACGGCGUCUAGGGUGUUGGGGAUGCUCCACUUCUGUGUCAUGAGCUGUCAUUUCCUUGAACUCAGAAGCAUUUUGCAACAUACGAAGAGCCAUGUAAAUAAAAACAACUUAGUGUCAGCCAUGUGCCAGACACAGUCAUCGUUCAUCUCAUUUGUUACCACAGCAACCCAAGGAGGUCGUGCCGGCCUCCGCUUGCUAGGCUGCUAGGCUGAGGCUCCAGAAGUUACAGAUCCUGCCCCAGAUCACGCAACACGCAAAUACCCAGGUGUCGCCCACCGAGGUGCUCGGACCCACGACGCCUCAGGCCUCUCCGUUGGUUCACGACGCCCUGCGGGUCCAGAACCAAGGUCAACCCAGGGCAGGCAAUCAGGAAUGAGACUUCGCAGUUUCAUCUGGACUCAGGCAAGUACUAAAUGGCGAGCAGACGGUGGACCACGGACAGGGACUGUGCUGGCCUUGGGCAGGUAGCAACUCUCUGCCUCAGCAGCCUCCUCUAUGAGGCAGAAAUCGAAUGCCGACUCCACAGGGCUGCUCGAGGAUUGCAACACGUGUCCAGAGCCCAGGACACAGGAAGCGCUCCGCGAGCAUAGUCAUUGGGACCGUGGCAGAUGCGGCGACUGUUGUGGGAGGUUGAGAUGUCUUCGCUUAACAAGGUGGCUUCACUGAUACAGAUGUGGGCUUCCUUUAAGCUUUUAAACUAGUUAAUUGGCUGUUGAAAACAUUUUAAAGAUUAAGUAGUAAAAAAAAUUCAUUUCUAGUUAAUUAGCAACUCACUCUAUUAUUAGUUUUCAACCCGUAAUUUUUACAGCCCACGCUGCUCUCUUCUGCUCCGUCCUAUGACUCGUCACCAUCUCACCCAGGGUUGCUCUGUUUCCUUGUGACACCUCGUUGGCAAUGUUGUUACUUAAGUGUGCGAAGCAUUAUGGGAUACGUUUGGAACGAAAGUCACUUUGCGAACAGAAAUGAAGCUGACAUACGUUGCAUUCAGACCUCUAGUGGGGACCACAGGGGGGACAAGGGAGAAGAGCUCAUGGAUGCCCUUGGUUGUGGGCUGAGAAAAACCGCCUCUCUCCCUGCCUGGUUGACCAAGAGGAUGUUACUGAGAGAAUCUCCCUGGGGAGGGAAAGAGUCCUUCCUUGCUUAUGAUGCAAACUGAAAAUGAAAAGAUAACACGAGAGCAGAGUUCCUCGGCUUCUCCGUUCUGCUCCUCUCAGGGACCACGAAAGAGACACACAGACUCUUUGCAAGUUCUAUUUCCACAUCUGUAAAAAUAAGAAUUUGUUGGUGGUGGAGGAAGUGAGAGGAAUGGGGUCAGUCCCUGCUGUCCAGAUAGAUUUGGGGCUGGGGCAUACCAGCUGACGGAUUUGAAAAACAAACCAAGAGCGGAGAUGCUUUUAAUCAAAGAGACAAACUCAAGAGUAGAACUACAAUUGACCGCAAACCUGCUGGGAGCCACUCUUUGGCAAGUGGUGGGGGAAGGGCAGCUGGGCGUGUUUGGGGACCCUGGUUACAGGAUUAAAGGGUUUUGCUCACUUCUCUCCACUGGGAUGUCCAGGGCAGCUGCCAGCCCAUAUGGUCCCCUUGUGCAAGUUAGGAAACACGUUCCCUCAGAGAGGGCUGCUCCACACCUGGCGGUUGAAAUAGGGGCAGCCGGGCUGCAUUUAUACCCUAUGCUGAGCCCAGCGGAUGCAGAGAGAGAGAGAGAAGCCAUGUGUGGUAUGCAGGGGGAAGUGCCCUGUCCCCCUUCAAGGAAGGACCGCCCAGCUAUGUGAGCAUCCUCCACGAGGUCAUGCCUUCCCGGGGCAGCUGGCAUCGGUGACUGAGCCACGCUGGGGCACUAAAAUCUGGCUCCUCGGGCUCAAGGCAGGAUGCUCUGUGGGGCGCACCUGCUGCAGCCCCCGCCAGCGCCUGCGUGGACUUCUCCCUCUGCCCAGCCCUGCUUCCCCCAUCUUUGACUUCCAUCGACAGGUGUUGGUCCCUAAUAAACAUGUCCGACCACAAAUUCCAUGUCAGCACCUGCUUCUUAAGAACCCAACCUGCAUCUCCACAUCCUGCCCUUUCAGUCCAGUUGGGGAGACAGACAUCAGCAAAAGAAUCUGGAACAUAUAUGAAAAAUUGCAGCUAAAAUCUCUGGAAAAGGGGAGCUGCCUGAUGGUGGAAG